UGAAUACGAGAUGCUACGGCGUCGAAGCAGUCUAUGUCAUACUUCCAAGAAAAGCUCGCACUGUCAUAAACAAAUAAUGCCUGUACCAUAACCGACACAGGUGGGUAGGUAGAGUAUACUAAGGGGCGCGAGAUAACUCUCUCUAAGGAACUCGGCAAAAUGACUCCGUAACUUCGGGAGAAGGAGUGCCUUAUUUAUAAGGUUGCAAUAACAAGAUCCAAGCAACUGUUUAUCAAAAACACAGGUCUCCGCUAAGUCGUAAGACGAUGUAUGGGGGCUGACGCCUGCCCAGUGCCAGAAGGUUAAAGAAGUUGGUUAGCAUUCGCGAAGCUGAUAACUGAAGCCCUGGUGAACGGCGGCCGUAACGAUAACGGUCCUAAGGUAGCGAAAUUCCUUGUCGGGUAAGUUCCGGCCCGCACGAAAGGCGUAAUGAUUUGGAUACUGUCUCGGAGAGGGGCUCGGUGAAAUAGACUUGUCUGUGAAGAUGCGGACUACCUGCACCAGGACAGAAAGACCCUAUGAAGCUUUACUGUAACUUGAGAUUGAAAUUGGACUUUACUUGCGCAGUAUAGGUGGGAGGCGUUGAUAAUAUUCUUGCGGGAUUAUUUGAGCCAUCAGUGAGAUACCACUCUUGUAAUGUUAGAUUUCUAACUUUGUAUCAUUAUCUGGUCAAAGGACAGUUUCAGGCGGGCAGUUUGACUGGGGCGGUCGCCUCCUAAACGGUAACGGAGGCGCACAAAGGUUUCCUCUGAACGGGUAGAAAUCGUAUCUAGAGUGUAAAGGCAUAAGGAAGCUUGACUGUGAGACCUACAAGUCGAGCAGGGACGAAAGUCGGUCUUAGUGAUCUGACGGUGCUGAGUGGAAAGGCCGUCACUCAACGGAUAAAAGUUACUCUAGGAUAACAGGCUGAUCUCCCCCAAGAGUUCACAUCGACGGGGAGGUUUGGCACCUCGAUGUCGGCUCAUCGCAUCCUGGGGCGGUAGUACGUCCCAAGGGUUGGGCUGUUCGCCCAUGAAAGCGGUACGCGAGCUGGGUUCAGAACGUCGUGAGACAGUUCGGUCCAUAUCCGGUGUAGGCGUUAGAAUAUUGAGAGGAGCCUUCUUUAGUACGAGAGGACCGAGAAGGACAUACCUCUGGUGUACCAGUUAUCGUGCCAACGGUAAACGCUGGGUAGCUAUGUAUGGAGUGGAUAACCGCUGAAAGCAUCUAAGUGGGAAGCCCACCUCAAGAUAAGUAUUCUCAU
RNAcentral lists this ribosomal RNA (1243 nucleotides) under metagenome. RNAcentral describes it as "bacterial LSU rRNA". It matches the Rfam family "Bacterial large subunit ribosomal RNA", at positions 1564 to 2817 of the family's 2925-position model. The record is from RNAcentral.